AAGGAUAGUGCGAGCUAAUCUCUAUAUUGUCAAUCUUCGAUUUGCUCGCCAUAUGUUAGUAUUAAGCCUUCAGUUAUAGGAUUGUUUCUAUUUUGCGAGUUGAGCUUCGUACUGUUCGUCGUUCUGAGAAUUGUCGAUAUCUGAAGCUGGGAUUGUGAUUGCUGAUACUAACUGCUUUGCUGUAAUGGGGAAAUAGAAGUGGGCAAGGGAAACCAAAGGAGAACGUGAACAAACAUGGUGUUCUUCGAUCAGGCAACCUAUGACAAGCUCCUGUCCGAGGCACCCGAGGACACGCUCAUCACCCCCUCCAUCCUCUCUGAUCGCCUGAGGGUUAGGAGGAGGCUGAAAUGUAUUGAGCAGAAGACUAUUUAGCUCUCAUACUAUCAUGACAACAUAGGGAUGUCAUUGCCAAGAGAGUAAUCGCCUGAUGUGUUCGGUCCACCUUACUAGAGAAUUGUCGUGCCGAAGAUAUUGUUAUUUGAGGCUAAGCAAUGCCAUACAAAUACAUCUAAAUUCAUUGGAUGAUAAUGGCUGGUUCUUAAAUUCACGUAUAGCAAUUACCCGAUGAUUUGAGCCC
Punica granatum (pomegranate) is the source of this 577-nucleotide non-coding RNA. The record is from RefSeq and is a predicted model, not a curated record. NCBI's taxonomy places the organism in Eukaryota, Viridiplantae, Streptophyta, Magnoliopsida, Myrtales, Lythraceae.